UACGUAGGGGGCGAGCGUUGUCCGGAGUUACUGGGCGUAAAGCGCACGCAGGCGGUCUGCUAAGUUUGGAGUGACAGUUGGUGGCUUAACUGCCAAAGUGCUUCGAAAACUGACAGACUUGAGGGCUUCAGAGGGACACGGAAUUCCGGGUGGAGUGGUGAAAUGCGUAGAGAUCCGGAGGAACACCAAAGGCGAAGGCAGUGUCCUGGGGAGCACCUGACGCUCAGGUGCGAAAGCCAGGGGAGCGAACGGG
Molecule: ribosomal RNA, 253 nt
Filed under: uncultured bacterium
Lineage: Bacteria
Description: partial 16S ribosomal RNA
Rfam family: Bacterial small subunit ribosomal RNA
Source: RNAcentral